GAAAUGCGAUAAGUAAUGUGAAUUGCAGAAUUCAGUGAAUCAUCGAAUCUUUGAACGCACCUUGCGCUCCUUGGUAUUCCUUGGAGCAUGCCUGUUUGAGUAUCAUGAAAUCUUCAAAGUAAAUCUUUUGUUAACUCAAUUGGUUUCUACUUUGGUAUUGGAGGUCUUUGCAGCUUCACACCUGCUCCUCUUUGUUCAUUAGCUGGAUCUCAGUGUUAUGCUUGGUUCCACUCGGCGUGAUAAGUUAUCUAUCGCUGAGGACACUGUAAAAGGUGGCCAAGGUAAAUGCAGAUGAACCGCUUCUAACAGUCCAUUGACUUGGACAAUACUUUUAUGAUCUGAUCUCAAAUCAGGUAGGACUACCCGCUGAACUUAAGC
RNAcentral lists this unclassified non-coding RNA (378 nucleotides) under plant metagenome. Its description in RNAcentral is "partial contains 5.8S ribosomal RNA, internal transcribed spacer 2, and large subunit ribosomal RNA". The stretch from base 1 to 105 matches the Rfam family "5.8S ribosomal RNA", at positions 50 to 154 of the family's 154-position model. The record is from RNAcentral.